GGAAAAUAAAUGCAUCUUAAGAACCAUCGCACAUCAGAAACAUUUUGAAGUUGAAUAUAGUGAUUAGUUUUGAUUAUUAAGCAAAUUAGUUUUGAUUUAGUAAUUUCACCAGGAAUAAUAAAAUUAAACAUGCAUCCAAUCAAAUAAACAAAAGAUUGGUAGCUAACUGCUAACUAAAUCUUGAAACCAAAAUUGCAAAUUUCAAGGGAAUCUGCUACCCUGCCACUAUAAUCAACUACUUUAAAACCGAGGUCACUCAGUCUCAAAUUAAUAUAACAUCUCAGCAACACUCUCUGUUAUUCUACUAGGACGAAUUUAAGGGAGAUAGAACGAGACAUGAGACUUCUAAUCAGAUACACACAUUCAAUUCAAGCAUACGUGCAAAAUGCCUAUCAAAAACUGCAAAAUGCCUAUCAAAACUAAGUGAUUGCAAAUUUAUAAUUUUCAGGCAUGAACCACAAAAAUGGCACAACCAUGUAAUGUUUGUAAAUCAAUAUAAUUGCGCGCAUACUUCAUCCGAAUUUCUCUAACAAUUUCAAAAACAUUCCUCUAAAACAGCCACACAAACACAUCCUUUAAGAAGAACCUAAUAGUUGCCACCCUUUUACCAGUUUACUAAUUCAAGUUAAAAACAUAUAAGCAUACAACUAGUACAUAGGUUAAACUGACAAAACUACAAUACCUUUUUU
Molecule: unclassified non-coding RNA, 689 nt
Filed under: Hevea brasiliensis (rubber tree)
Lineage: Eukaryota; Viridiplantae; Streptophyta; Magnoliopsida; Malpighiales; Euphorbiaceae
Source: RNAcentral